RNAcentral lists this ribosomal RNA (370 nucleotides) under Hysterium angustatum. RNAcentral describes it as "SSU rRNA". It matches the Rfam family "Eukaryotic small subunit ribosomal RNA", at positions 733 to 1103 of the family's 1831-position model. The record is from RNAcentral. Lineage: Eukaryota; Fungi; Ascomycota; Dothideomycetes; Hysteriales; Hysteriaceae.
UGUCGGGGAACCAGGACUUUUACUUUGAGAAAAUUAGAGUGUUCAAAGCAGGCCUUUGCUCGAAUACGUUAGCAUGGAAUAAUAGAAUAGGACGUGCGGUCCUAUUUUGUUGGUUUCUAGGACCGCCGUAAUGAUUAAUAGGGAUAGUCGGGGGCAUCAGUAUUCAAUUGUCAGAGGUGAAAUUCUUGGAUUUAUUGAAGACUAACUACUGCGAAAGCAUUUGCCAAGGAUGUUUUCAUUAAUCAGUGAACGAAAGUUAGGGGAUCGAAGACGAUCAGAUACCGUCGUAGUCUUAACCGUAAACUAUGCCGACUAGGGAUCGGGCGAUGUUAUUAUUUUGACUCGCUCGGCACCUUACGAGAAAUCAAAG